RNAcentral lists this ribosomal RNA (382 nucleotides) under uncultured eukaryote. Its description in RNAcentral is "partial 18S ribosomal RNA". It matches the Rfam family "Eukaryotic small subunit ribosomal RNA", at positions 592 to 976 of the family's 1831-position model. The record is from RNAcentral.
UGUAAGCGUAUACCAAAGUUGUUGCAGUUAAAACGCUCGUAGUCGGAAUUUGGCAGUUCCGGAAGUGUGCACGUCGUGUGCGCACUUUGCGGGGACUGCUUUUGUGGUCCUGCGUAGGAUGAGGCACUUUCAUUAGUGAACGUCCUCACGCAACCACUCUUUACUGUGAGAAAAUCAGAGUGCUCAAAGCAGGCAUUUGCCGUGAAUGUAUUAGCAUGGAAUAAUAGAAUAGGACUCGGUUCUAUUUUGUUGGUUUGUUGGGACUGAGUAAUGAUUAAGAGGGACAGUUGGGGGCAUUUGUAUUCCGGCGCUAGAGGUGAAAUUCUUAGAUUGCCGGAAGACAAACUGCUGCGAAAGCGUCUGCCAAGGAUGUUUUCAUUGA